RNAcentral lists this small RNA (125 nucleotides) under Marmota monax (woodchuck). Lineage: Eukaryota; Metazoa; Chordata; Mammalia; Rodentia; Sciuridae. The record is from RNAcentral.
GCUGGGCGUGAUGGCGCAUGCCUGUAAUCCCAGUGGCCUGGGAGGCUGAGGCAGGAGGAUCGUGAGUUCAAAGCCAGCCUCAGCAAUGGCGAGGUGCUAAGCAACUCAGUGAGACCCUGACUCUG